This 643-nucleotide long non-coding RNA is filed under the name Marmota monax (woodchuck). The record is from RNAcentral. Lineage: Eukaryota; Metazoa; Chordata; Mammalia; Rodentia; Sciuridae.
UGACUCUAAAAAUACAUUUAAAUAGCUGUAUGAUCCAGAAAAUUUUCUUGAAAGUUGUAGUUUAUCUUAUCAGAACUGAAUGAAGAUAAUUCAGCUACAUGAUAUCAACAAUUGUCAAGAUUUGUGGGGCACCUGUGAGGUUAAAACUGUUUUCAUAAUAAUGCUAAGAUGUUAAUUUGCCUUUCUUACUCUUAUUCUCUCACACAGGUCUAGUGGAAUUUUCUGAGGCUACAAAAUGUGUGAUAUCUCACAUUCGGUAUAGUAGCAGAUAUGAGAAAUAGCCAUAUAUUGAAGAGAUUUACAGAAAUGUAAAAUAGUGUCUUUCUUCCUUCCCUCACUUUUACGUAUUUAUUUAUUUAUUUUGAUGAACUCUUGCUCUGUUGCCCAGACUGGCCUGCCUAGGAACUCAGCUUCGUGGAUCCUCCUGCCUUAGCUUCUGGAGGAGCUGGAACUGUAACAGUAACAGGCAUGUGCCAUUGUGCCUGACUUUCAUUAACUUUUUCUUUAUUUUGAAAGACAUUUUUUUUUAAUUAAAAAUUAUUUUGUUUAUAUUAACAUGUUAUGGGCUUAUUGUUAUUUUUAAAUGAAGUAAUAAUAUGUUUCAAUUUUUAAUUAAUCCUAUAUUCAUUUCCAUCAAAAUAAA